GAUGAACGCUAGCGGCAGGCUUAACACAUGCAAGUCGAGGGGUAGAGGAAGCUUGCUUCCUUGAGACCGGCGCACGGGUGCGUAACGCGUAUGCAACCUACCUUUUACAGAGGGAUAGCCCAGAGAAAUUUGGAUUAAUACCUCAUGGUAUAUAUCAUUCGCAUGUUUGAUAUAUUAAAGUUCCAACGGUAAAAGAUGGGCAUGCGUCCUAUUAGCUAGAUGGUAAGGUAACGGCUUACCAUGGCAACGAUAGGUAGGGGUCCUGAGAGGGAGAUCCCCCACACUGGUACUGAGACACGGACCAGACUCCUACGGGAGGCAGCAGUGAGGAAUAUUGGACAAAUGGGCGCAAGCCUGAUCCAGCCAUGCCGCGUGCAGGAAGAAGCAUCUAUGGUGUGUAAAACUGCUUUUGUACGGGAAGAAACACUCCUCGUGAAGGAGCUUGACGGUACCGUAAGAAUAAAGGAUCCGGCUAAACUCCGUGCCAGCAG
Molecule: ribosomal RNA, 491 nt
Filed under: uncultured bacterium
Lineage: Bacteria
Description: bacterial SSU rRNA
Rfam family: Bacterial small subunit ribosomal RNA
Source: RNAcentral